GCCGUGUUUCGAGUUACUCCGGAACACAGUGUUUAUUCUGUGUUUAGUCACGCCGCGUCAAAAAUGUUCCACAGGGUUACUUCCGGUUUAUCGCUGUUUACCAACAGUCGACACUUCGUGUAUUAGGCCUAGGGUUAAUUUUGUCGAUCAUCAUGAAAUUGAAAUACACAUUUAAUAGUUUGGGGUGUAUGCGGUACAUAUUUGUUUAUGAGCGUUUGAUAAGCUACUAUUGAUCUACGAAAUACAACGAAAGACUUCGUCAAGAACAGAAGAAGACGAUGCAUGUCGUGUAACUCACACAAGGCCCAGCUGUCUAGUAACCGGAGGGGUAAAGGAAAAGAACGUAUUAGACUCACUGAAACCUGUCAAACAGGUAUAUGGGAACAGGAUCAUUUUCCAUGCCUUUCACUUGAGGUCUUCAGUUUCAUCAUUAAUCAUCUGAAUGUCGGUAUGCCAAACUCUCAUGAUGUCAUGCCAUUACUGGAUAUUCCUUAACAGUGGUUUAUUUAAGCCACACUACCUAUAACAUUGCCAAAAUAUUAGACUGAAAAUUUUCAAAUACACAAGAUUUGAAGCAGCAAAAGAAAAGAAUUACAUAUGUAUAACACACAAAAAAGAAGAAAUUAAUUCUCACCUGGCUGAUAUGAACUUUUUACUCCUUUUUAGCUCCCUUUCACUGCAUACCAGCCAAUAACUAGCAGUCAUUAUAUGCAGAUCAGCCAUUGUUAUCAACCUGUGUAUAUAUAUGUUGAAUGAAAUAUGAAUGAAAA
Ostrea edulis (European flat oyster) is the source of this 770-nucleotide long non-coding RNA. RefSeq lists it as uncharacterized. Lineage: Eukaryota; Metazoa; Mollusca; Bivalvia; Ostreida; Ostreidae. The transcript is spliced from 2 exons. The record is from RefSeq and is a predicted model, not a curated record.